GUAGGUGAACCUGCGGAAGGAUCAUUAAUAGAGCAAAAGACAGGCAGCGCCCCAUAGAAGCUUGCUUCGUGGUGGGCUACCCUACUCUGGUAGGGUUUAGAGCCGUCGAACCUCUCGAAGAAGUUCGGUCUUGAACUCCACCCUUGAAUAAAUUACCUUUGUUGCUUUGGCAGGCCGCUUCGGCUACCGGCUUCGGCUGGUAAGU
Molecule: unclassified non-coding RNA, 205 nt
Filed under: plant metagenome
Description: partial contains small subunit ribosomal RNA, internal transcribed spacer 1, and 5.8S ribosomal RNA
Source: RNAcentral